AAACCAACACUCUCUCUCUCUAACUCUCAGGAACUCACACUCUCUCUAAGCUCCGAGAGCUUCUCUCUAACUUUCACCUCACUUCCUUCACAAAUCAAACCCCAAAAACCAUAUAUUUGGAAUCCUUGAGACCUAACGAACUCAAUGGUACCCUUGCAUGCGCCAUCAGAGCACUGUGGACUUUUCUGCCAUUGAAGCUGAGAGCUUCAAAGCUCUAAAACUCGAACCCAGGUGAGAAGUGUGUUCCUUCUUCAAAUUUCUGGGUUUAAUCAUGCUAUUUUACACACUGUUGUGUUGGUUUUGUGGUCAAAAUCGAGGGUUUUGACCUUAUCUCUUUUCUAUGCCAAGAACCCGGUUCCGACAACGAACUCCGGCGAGUUUGUUGCUGUGGAUUGCGCGGAUCCCUUCGAACCUAAACCCAG
This 422-nucleotide long non-coding RNA is filed under the name Malus domestica (apple). RNAcentral describes it as "long non-coding RNA (MDOM_LNC001493)". The record is from RNAcentral. Lineage: Eukaryota; Viridiplantae; Streptophyta; Magnoliopsida; Rosales; Rosaceae.